This 200-nucleotide long non-coding RNA is filed under the name Gossypium raimondii (Peruvian cotton). Its description in RNAcentral is "long non-coding RNA (GRAI_LNC005179)". The record is from RNAcentral. Lineage: Eukaryota; Viridiplantae; Streptophyta; Magnoliopsida; Malvales; Malvaceae.
AAUAAAAGAGUUAUUAAUUAAAAAUAAAAAAACUUGAAACAACUUUUCAUGAAAAAAAAUGUGAAUAUAUUUAGAAUAUAAAUUAAACCUGAGACUUAAGAAUGAAAUCACAUGUGUUAAAAACAUUAAUUAAAAGUAGAGAAAAAGGCUUAAAAUAACAUGAAAUAAAAAAAAUACGUAAGAGAGAAAUCAAACCCAAA